GCCUACAGCCAUACCACCCUUAACAGGCUCGAUCUCGUUGAUCUCGGAAGCUAAGCAGGGUUGGGCCUGGUUAGUAUUUGGAUGGGGUUCUGCCUGGGAAUACCGGGUGCUGUAGGCU
This 118-nucleotide ribosomal RNA is filed under the name Salvator merianae (Argentine black and white tegu). The record is from RNAcentral. Lineage: Eukaryota; Metazoa; Chordata; Lepidosauria; Squamata; Teiidae.